GGGCGGUUAGCUCAGCUGGAUAGAGCGUUGGCCUCCGGAGCCAAAGGCCGCGAGUUCGAAUCUCGCACCGCCCACCA
This 77-nucleotide transfer RNA is filed under the name Desulfarculales bacterium. Its description in RNAcentral is "tRNA-Arg". It matches the Rfam family "tRNA". From Rfam's summary of the family: Transfer RNA (tRNA) molecules are approximately 80 nucleotides in length. Their secondary structure includes four short double-helical elements and three loops (D, anti-codon, and T loops). Further hydrogen bonds mediate the characteristic L-shaped molecular structure. tRNAs have two regions of fundamental functional importance: the anti-codon, which is responsible for specific mRNA codon recognition, and the 3' end, to which the tRNAs corresponding amino acid is attached (by aminoacyl-tRNA synthetases). tRNAs cope with the degeneracy of the genetic code in two manners: having more than one tRNA (with a specific anti-codon) for a particular amino acid; and 'wobble' base-pairing, i.e. permitting non-standard base-pairing at the 3rd anti-codon position. The record is from RNAcentral. Lineage: Bacteria; Pseudomonadati; Thermodesulfobacteriota; Desulfarculia; Desulfarculales.